This 1412-nucleotide ribosomal RNA is filed under the name metagenome. RNAcentral's name for it is "bacterial LSU rRNA". It matches the Rfam family "Bacterial large subunit ribosomal RNA", at positions 1534 to 2925 of the family's 2925-position model. The record is from RNAcentral.
CAAAAAAUCCGGGAUCACUUACGCCGAGCACCGAGACGAGUCCUAUGAGGACGAAGUGACUGACACCACGCUUCCAGGAAAAGCCACUAAGCUUCAGCUUAAGAAAAACCGUACCGCAAACCGACACAGGUAGGCAGGGUGAGAAUCCCAAGGCGCUUGAGAGAACUCGGGUGAAGGAACUAGGCAAAAUGGCACCGUAACUUCGGGAGAAGGUGCGCCCUUUGGUGUGGUCACGUGCGUGACUGAGCAUUGAAGGGUCGCAGUAACCUGGCCGCUGCGACUGUUUAUCAAAAACACAGCACUCUGCAAACACGAAAGUGGACGUAUAGGGUGUGACGCCUGCCCGGUGCUGGAAGGUUAAUUGAUGGGGUCAGCCGCAAGGCGAAGCUCUUGAUCGAAGCCCCAGUAAACGGCGGCCGUAACUAUAACGGUCCUAAGGUAGCGAAAUUCCUUGUCGGGUAAGUUCCGACCUGCACGAAUGGCGUAACGACAGCGGCGCUGUCUCCACCCGAGACUCAGUGAAAUUGAAAUCGCUGUGAAGAUGCAGCGUUCCCGCGGCAAGACGGAAAGACCCCGUGAACCUUUACUAUAGCUUUACACUGAACGUUGAGUUCUUCUGUGUAGGAUAGGUGGGAGGCUAUGAAACCAGGACGCUAGUUCUGGUGGAGCCAUCCUUGAAAUACCACCCUGAAGUGCUUGACGUUCUAACCUAGGCCCGUAAUCCGGGUCAGGGACCGUGUAUGGUGGGUAGUUUGACUGGGGCGGUCUCCUCCCAAAGAGUAACGGAGGAGCACGAAGGUACGCUCAGCGCGGUCGGACAUCGCGCACUGUGUGCAAAGGCAUAAGCGUGCUUGACUGCGAGAUCGACGGAUCAAGCAGGUACGAAAGUAGGUCUUAGUGAUCCGGUGGUUCUGUAUGGAAGGGCCAUCGCUCAACGGAUAAAAGGUACUCCGGGGAUAACAGGCUGAUACCGCCCAAGAGUUCAUAUCGACGGCGGUGUUUGGCACCUCGAUGUCGGCUCAUCACAUCCUGGGGCUGUAGCCGGUCCCAAGGGUAUGGCUGUUCGCCAUUUAAAGUGGUACGCGAGCUGGGUUCAGAACGUCGUGAGACAGUUCGGUCCCUAUCUGUCGUGGGCGUUGGAGAUUUGAGGGGGGCUGCUCCUAGUACGAGAGGACCGGAGUGGACGUUCCGCUGGUGUUCGGGUUGUCAUGCCCAUGGCAUUGCCCGGUAGCUACGAACGGAAGUGAUAACCGCUGAAAGCAUCUAAGCGGGAAGCACGCCCCAAGAUGAGAUCUCCCGAGAGCUUGACUCUCCUAAAGGCACCAUCAAGACUAGGUGGUUGAUAGGUCAGGUGUGGAAGCGCAGCAAUGCGUUGAGCUAACUGAUACUAAUGAGCCGUGAGGCUUGACCAA